RNAcentral lists this unclassified non-coding RNA (262 nucleotides) under uncultured fungus. RNAcentral's name for it is "partial contains small subunit ribosomal RNA, internal transcribed spacer 1, and 5.8S ribosomal RNA". The stretch from base 1 to 73 matches the Rfam family "Eukaryotic small subunit ribosomal RNA", at positions 1759 to 1831 of the family's 1831-position model. The record is from RNAcentral. Lineage: Eukaryota; Fungi.
CCAAACUUGGUCAUUUAGAGGAAGUAAAAGUCGUAACAAGGUCUCCGUUGGUGAACCAGCGGAGGGAUCAUUACCGAGUACUACACUCAUAACCCUUUGUGAACCAUUAUACCUGUUGCUUCGGCGGCGCCCCCCCGCGGGGUGCCCGCCGGCCUUCAGAAUCUCUGUUUUCGAACCCGACGAUACUUCUGAGUGUUCUUAGCGAACUGUCAAAACUUUUAACAACGGAUCUCUUGGCUCCAGCAUCGAUGAAGAACGCAGC